This 9075-nucleotide long non-coding RNA is filed under the name Nicotiana tabacum (common tobacco). RNAcentral describes it as "long non-coding RNA (NTAB_LNC010883)". The record is from RNAcentral. Lineage: Eukaryota; Viridiplantae; Streptophyta; Magnoliopsida; Solanales; Solanaceae.
AAUACACAUUUAGACCUAGAUCUAUAUAAUAAAGGUAAUGGCUAAUGCUGAAGGAGACGAAAAGUACACAAAAAGAACGCCUAAAGAGCUAAAGAGAGGACCAUCAGCCACAAUAACACAGAGAAAUUCAUCGGCGGGCCUCUUACCAUUGCUCCCCGUUUCUCAUCUCCUUCUUCCUCGAAAAACCCAAAACCAAAUAAAAAACCUAGUAGAAGUUUUCCAAAAAAAAAACGUGAAAAAGGGGCCUUUCAUUCAUUGUCCAAUUAUUUCGAUUUAGCUCCUUUAGACAUGAAUUCCAUGUGGAUUCUGAGAUCUUGUAGCCUGAUUCGGCUGGCAUUUUAAUUUUCCGGUGAGGUUUUCCAUCGAGGUCGUCGUAUGUGGUCCGCGAGAUCCAAACAAUUUGUUGCUGGUUCAAAGCUGUUGAGCUCCGUUUUCAAGUCUUUUGAAGCUCUAUUUGGACGAAUUCUUGUUGGUUUCUCCACUGUCCAGCUUCUUCGGCUAAUUUUGAGUUGUGUUUUGUUGCUAGGUAUGCCUCGCUCAUUUGUUAUUAGUUGUUGGACUUAUAAAUGGCAAUGUUGAAUUGUUCAUGUUAUGGCCAUCUUUAAUCUCAUGAGUUUAAUUAUGUUCAAUCAGCAAAAAUUGGCUUUUGUUUUUCUGUUUGCCUAUAAUUGAUCUUGCUGAUAACUGUUAUGUUUGAGCUAAAAUUUAGGUUGAAACUGUUUGUUCAUUUGAAGAUUUCAUAUGCUGGUCUACGACUUAAUUAGCUACUAAUUCGCCGUGUUAAUUGACGUAUUAAAUUGAAGUGUUGCCAUCUGAUAUGGAUUCCUGUUAAAUGAUAUACUAAUUCUAAAUUGAACUUACGGUUUAAACUUCCUAUGUGUUGAGAUAAUCAAUUUUCAUGUUAUAUGCUGUAUAAGUUUACUUGCAUAUUCCAAGUCUUACCUAGUGUGGGCCGUUAGAUGAAUCUUCUGCUUUUGGGCCUAGUAUAUGGGUUUUGAAGAAUUGAAUAAAGUUGGCUCAUUUUCUUAUAUUCGAAUCCUUCUAGCUUAAUUUUACACUCUAUCCACAAUAAAUUUCCAUAAUUCCCAUGCCAUUGCAUCAAUUUCAAACUUAGGAAUUGAACAAAUGAAAACUAACGAGUUUCGUAGUUUGUUUCAGGCGCGUUGAUUAUAUAAUUAUCACGGUUAUUACUAAAAUCCGGGGUACAUUUCAUAUGGUCCGAUUUUAAUUUUCUAACAAGGUUAAAUAGAACGUAUCGUGAAUCACGGGUACAUUUCAUGUAGCAUGACUUGCGAUGUGUUUUAAAUAACCUUGAAAUAAUUCCUUAAAUAAAUGAAAGCGGUUUUAAAGUUAAAAAUGCACAUAGGUUUAAAAGUGUUUUAAAAUCAGAUAAUAGGCCAAAUAUAACAGUUGAGCGACCGUGCUAGAACCAUGGAACUCAAAAAUGCCUAACACCUUCUCCCGAGUUAACAGAAUUCCUUACCUGGAUUUCUGUGUUCGCAGACUGUAAUACAGAGUCAAUCUUUUCCUCGAUUCGGGAUUUGAACCGGUGACUUGGGACUCCAUAAAAUUAUCCCAAGUGGCAACUCUGAAUUUUUAAUAAAAUGAUCCCGUUUCGAUUGUCACUUUAAGUUGGAAAAAACUCUCUUGUCCUACCCUUCCGGGUGUAGGAAAAAGGAGGUGUGACACUCACCAGAGCAUCAAGGCUUCUCCUCCGCACGUGCCUAAACUAUCUAAGCACGCUUCCCGCAUCUUGUCAUCCACAGGGGCCACGCCUAUCUUCUCCCAAAUAUCUUCAUUCUUAAUCUUAUCAAUCCUAGUGUGCCCGCACAUCCACCUCAACAUCAUCUUCUCUGCUACCUUGAUCUUCUGGAUAUGAGUGUUCUUAACCGGUCAAUUCUCUUCCCCAUACAACAUGGCCGGUCUAACCAUCGCUCUAUAAAACUUACCUUUGAGUAUCAGUGACACUUUCUUGUCACACAAGACUCCAGAUGCUAGCCUCCAUUUCAUCCACCCCACCCCUAUACGGUGAGUGAUGUCCUCACCAAUCUCUCCGCCCCCUUGUAUAACUGACCCAAGGUACUAGAAACUACCUCUCUUGAGGAUGACCUUUGAUCCAAGCCUCACGACCAUGCCUAUUUCCCUCGACUCGAUGCUGAACUUGCACUCUAGGUACUUUGUCUUAGUCCAGUUCAGCUUGAAACCCUUAGACUCGAGAGCUCAUCUCCAAACCCCCAACCUCUCAUUAACACCAUCCCGCGUCUCAUCAGUCAGAACUAUGUCAUCAGCAAAUAACAUACAUCAUGGCACUUCCCCUUGAAUAUGGUGUGUCAGUGCAUCCAUCACCAAGGCAAAUAAGAAUGGGCUAAGUGCAGAUCCUUGGUGUAACCCCAUAAUUACCGGGAAAUGCUCUGAGUCGCCUCCCACAGUCCUAACCCUAGUCUUAGCUCUAUCAUACAUGUCCUUGAUCGCUCUAACGUAAGCUAUCGACACACCCUUUGCCUCCAGACAUCUCCAUAGCACCUCACUAGUGACAUUGUCAUAUGUUUUCUCCAAGUCAAUAAACACUAUGUGCAAAUCCUUCUUCCGAUCCCUGUACCAUUCCACCAACCUCCUAAUAAGGUGGAUAGCUUCCGUAGUAGAGCGACCCGGCAUGAACCAAAACUGGUUGUCGGAUAUAGACACUGUCUUCCUCACCCUCACUACCCUCUCCUAAACUUUCAUGGUAUGACUUAGUAACUUGAUACUCCUAUAGUUGUUACAAUACUGAAUAUCACCUUUGUUCUUGUACAACGGUACCACUGUACUCCACCUCCACUCAUCCGGCAUCCUCUUCGUCUUGAAAAUAAUAUUAAAUAGCCCAGUCAGCCACUCCAAGCCUGCUCUACCCACCUUUCAAAACUCAACCGGAAUUUUGUUUGGCCUGAUCGCUCUGCCCCUACUCAUCUAACACAAAGCCCCCACAACCUUCUCUACCUUAAUGCGCCUACAAUACCUAAAGUCUUGGAGACUCUCUGAAUGCCCCUGAUCCCCUAGCACUAUAUCUCGGUCCCCAUCUUCACUCAGAAGACCAUGAAAGUACGUAUGUCAUCUCUGCUUAAUUUGGGACUCCCCCAUCAAUACUCUAUCGUCCUCGUCUUUGAUGCACCUCACUUGGUCCAAAUCCCUCGCCUUCCUCUCCCUCGCCUUAGCCAGCCGAAACAACCUCUUAUCCCCACCCUUUUCCUCCAAUUCCCCGUACAGACGGUCAAACGCUGCAUUCUUAGCCUCUCUGAACACCAGCUUUGCCUCCUUCAUCGCUACCUUGUACCUCUCUCUAUUCGCUCUCCUCUCUUCCUCGCUUGUGCUCCCUGCCAACUUCAUAUAUGCUACCUUCUCCAUCUCCACUUCGCCUUGGACUACGUUAUUCCACCACCAGUCUCCUUGGUGCCUGCUAGAGUAACCCUUCAAUAUCCCUAACACCUCUCUCGCUGCCUCCCUAAAAUAGUUCGCCACCGUUAGCCACAUAACACUCGCGUCCCCACUACACCUCCAGGCUCCCAUAGCCGAUAACCUUCCUUCCAACUCCAGGGCUUUAUCCUUAGUUAAGGCUACCCACCUAAUCCUCAGUUGACCAUGAGCAUACCUCUUCUUCCUCCUUAUCAUAAUACCGACGUCCAUUACUAAGAGCCUAUGCUGAGUCGUGAGGGUAUCACCCGGGAUAACCUUGCAAUCCUUGCACAACCCUCUGACACACCUUCUGAGGAGGAGGUAAUCAAGUUGAGUCUUCACCAUCGAACUUUGGAAAGUUACCAGAUGCUCCUCCCUCUUCGAAAAACUCGAGUUCGCAAUCACCAACUCGAAAGCCUUAGCGAAAUCUAACAGCAAAGAACCUCCUCCAUUCAUAUCCCCCAAAGCCGAAGCCACCAUGCACAUCGCCAUAGCCACCAGCAGCUAACCCAAUAUGGCCAUUGAAAUUCCCUCCUAUAAAUAACCUCUCAGUAGGUGGAAUACUACGCACAAUCUCGUCCAAACCCUCCUAGAAGCGCAUUUUAACCUCCUCAUCCAAGCCUGCUUACAGCGCGUAAGCGCUAACGACAUUGAGGGUGCACUCACCAAUCACCAACUUAAUAAACAUUAGUCUAUCAUUCACCCGCUUGCCUAACCUCAACCAUAGACUCUCUAAGAUUCCUAUUCACCAAGAUACCCACUCUAUUCUUACCCUUCACGACUCUAGACUACCUCGACUUAUACCUGUCCGCAUUCCUCGCUUUGAACCCUACCCACCUAAAGCCCGUAUGGAUGGGCUUAUAUUAAGUGAUUUUUAAGCCAUACGUUAAGAAUUCUAGCUUUUGGCUUGUUUUUGCCAUUUUAGCUUAAAAACAAGUGCUUAAAAACACUUUUUUAAUCUAUCCAAACACUACAAAAUAGCUUAAAAGUUAUUUUAGCUUAAAAGCACUUAAAAUAAGUCAAUCCAAACGCGCUCCUAGUCUCUUGGACACAAGCUAUAUUGACCUUCCUCUUCUGGAGAAUCUUCACCAACUCAAUAGACUUACCCAUCAGCGUGCCUAUGUUACACGACCCAAUCCUCAACCUACAAGCUCCAUUUUCCCCUACCCUCAUUGUCUCCCGUCCCACCCUCUGACCCCUUCCCCACCCCUACACAUCUGAGGACAUGACCUUACUCUACCACCCCAGACCACAGUCACUAUCCCAUGACAGACUACAGAAAAUCACUAACAUAGAAUAAGACCCAACUAGAAGAUAACAAGUAGCAACUACAAGGUUGCUGAUAUAAUCUGGUUUAACAGCUUCGUGGAUGUUUACCCUUAAAAUUGGAUAACAAUUAAACUUAUAAGUGGUUUUAAGGAUAUAUGAUUUCACUUGGCACAAACUGAUAAAUAUGAAAAUUAAUGCUAGAAAUUGACAGUAAUAACGCAAACCAAUGUGAUGAACAACUAUGGCCCUCAAGCUAGAUCGCCCUCGAACAACAUAAUAUGCUAAAAAGGAAUGAACUGAACAGUAGAGCUUUAAGAGAGCUUAAGAGAAAAAAUGUAGUGUAUUUCUUAAUUAUGCGUGAGUAUGGUCAUUAUAAAAUGAUUAGGACCCCCUUUAUAUAGUAGAGGAAUCCUAUUUAUGGAAUUACAAGAAAUAAAUUGAGUCUUCAAUAUUUCCCUCGGUUUAUCAUGAUAUAAGCAUCGUGACGUAAGUGACAAAUAGGUACUGAAAUGUCCCGUUGGUUCAAAUGCCGAGGCAUUAAAUGCCAGUCAGUUGUUCGGCCAUUAUCAGUUCUAAACCGUCGUCUUCAAUAUACAAAUAUAUCUUCCUCCUUUUGCCUAAACUUUUACUUUCAAUCUCUUUCAUUCUAAUCUUCAUAGUUCCUUACAUUCUUCAGAUCUUUGAAUUUUUUUGCUUGUUCCUUCCAAAACACAGAAAGUUUCGAUCUCUAUUCUUGUUCGCUUAUAAUGGCCAAAACAUCUAAAACCAUUCUACGAAAGGAGACUGCUGCAUCGUCACGGUCGGCCGGCGAGGAACCGGCGGCGUAGCCAUGCCCUGAAGAGUUUUUUUUGGGAGGGUGUGUUCUCGACUCUGAUUUUAAGGUUGAAAAGACCUCCUCGGUACCGGGACGAUGCGAGCCAGUAUCAAGAUAUAUAUGCUCGAUCAUCGAAAAACUUCUUUCCUAAGUUAAAAAAGAUUGCAACUGGGUAACAAACACGUGGUGGUGCCUACUCCAGAAGAUGCAAUCACCACUCAUGUAGAAUGGUUCUUAAGUGUUUACACUUACCUUUUCAUGUUGGGUCCCCUAGAUCCGAUCAUCAUAGACUUCUGUAAGAAGUACGGGGUGACCCUUGGUCAGAUUCAUCCCUCCUUUUGGAGGAUAGUGAUAUUACUUCGUUUCUUCUCAAGCAAAGUCGAUGGGCUUCCCUUCACCCUCGACCACCUCAUACGCCUAUGUAGCCCCUGAAUCUAUCAAGAGGGACUAAUAAAGCUUCAACGUCGAGCCACCCAGGCACCUUUUUCGAGCAUAGAUAAGGACAAAGAUCGGGGUUGGAUGGGCUAAUUCGUUCAAGUAAAGACCUCGGACUUGAUCCCGGCUGAAAGCAUGCUAUUUUCUGAGAAAUGGAAUAUGAAACAUAAGUAUGAUCCGCUCCUAAUUCCUGUUUAUGGUUUCUAUUCUUAUAAACUUCCCCAUCGGUGUUUUGCUGGAUGCAGCUGUUUCUUGGAUGCCGGGUGGGGUUCCCCAACUCGAGGAUUGGGUCAGGAGCCUGAUAUUGUAAUCGACCCAUGCUGAACGUGCAUGGCAUGAUUUGGCAAAGGGUCGAUGGAAGGAUAGUACCCAUGGUAAGUUUUUCUUCCUGACUUAGUGAUUUGACCACUAUUAGAGCAUUUUUCCAAACUUAUUUAUUUCUCUUCCUUUGUAGGUCUUGGGAACGAGGUGAUGAUGAGGCCUCCGUCCGGUGAUGAAGAAAUUCCUCCCCUAUCAUCUGCUUCGAAGCUGGUUAGGGAGAAGAAGAGGAAAAGGACCUUGACUUCUGUGAACUCUGAGGGACAGAAGCCCAAAAAGAAAACAACCCGAAAACCCAAGGGAGGCGUCAUCAUAAGGGACUCAAUCCAUCGACUAUUGAAGGAGCCCGAAGAGGACGGAGAAGAAUAGAAUGAAGAUGAUUUCGGGCCGGUGUCCUAUGCUCGAGCUAGCACAGAGGUUCGAAGAACCUUGGAACCGAUGGGAGUCGAUAUUGCUCCGCCUAGGCUUAAUGAGGUCGAGGAGGAGACUUGGGCCCAAGUCCCCGAGCCAAGAGGGAAUGAAGAUGUUUUACAUCGGGGCAAAGAGAUCGUUGAAGAGGCGGUGGAGAUUGGUGCAGAAAUUGGGCUUGAGGCUCUGCAAGACGGAGGCAGUGCCUCAAAGGACCCACUUGGGGAAAUAGAUAUCGGGGGUUCCCCCUCAUUUUCUCCAAUUUAUGAUUCGAUGAUACGUGACGCUCAGGAUGUGGAGGCUUGUCACGAGGAAGGAGCCCACGUGGAGGAAGAUUUUUCUGUGGCUAUUUUGCUGAGGUAGAAGAUGUCACCGGUCUGGGUGACUUGGAUGUUCCAAAGAAGAGCUCGGGCGAGGCGUCCUCGAGUCUUAGACUGACCAAUCAGUUUUCGGACCCUAGUGCCGACCCUGGGCCCAAACGGUCGAUCGUUAUCUCGGCCCCAGAGGAUACUAAGGUCCUUUCUUCCCUAGUAGGGGUGGCUAGCUACCUCCGAUGUUUGGUGACCGAAGAGGAUCAGGCCGAGAUGAAUGCAGUGGAAAUACCCUACCUGUUUAAUGAAGCCUAACAGGCUCUAAACCGGGUAAUCCCAUAUUCCAAUGUUAAUUUCUUGAUUCAAUACUUCUCCAAUCUUACACAUCUUCUCUUUUGUGUUUGUAGGCUUCGGUGUUACAUCAUGAGGCCUUCCUCCGAUCCCGAGGGGAGAAAAUUUUGUACAAGGUCUAAAUCUGGGGCCUCACCGAGAAGGACACCUUCAAACUUCUUUGUGAGCAAAAAGAGAAAGAAGUUCAAGACCUUCGAGCUGAGUUGGAAAUGGCUCAAAAGAACACACCGACCUAACCGAGCAGGUAAAAAGAAUAUUUGAAGUUCAUGUUGGUGGAACGGGAAUGGUGACUGAUAAUCCAAAUCCGCAUGUUCAACAAAAACUUGAUGUGAUUAUCCAGCUCCAUGAAGAAAUAGGUGAAAUAAAAGCAGAGGCCGAAAGGAUGGAAAAAGAGCACGUCUGGCCUCAGAGAAGGAGACUGUCCGGGCUCAGCUGGCCUCGGCGGAAGUCCAACUCCGAAGUGUGAAAGAGAAGAGCUUGGCGCAAGCCAAGAAAAUCCAGGAGCUCCGGUCCGAGUUGGGUUCAGCAGGUUCUGUUCAGGUGAAACUGGUCAUUGAGCUUGAAGAGGCCAAAUCAGAGGCCAAGAAAACCAAAGCAGAUGUUGUUGCUGUGGUGGUUAUCUAUAUGUUAUUUUGAAGUAAAAGGCAAUAUCUGAAGGUGAACAUCCAUUAGCGACUAUUGAAAAGUUAGAACUAAUAUUAAAAAAAGAGAUCUACUUACUGACUUUGAUAAUUUUGGUUGAGUUGAUAGGAUUUUUGCAUUAUAACCGAAAAUUUUACUAAUUAAUUUCAUUAAGGACAAAUAAGAAAGUUUACUUUGUUGGAUUAGUUACCUCAUAUAGCAAAGGUUGAUAUCUUAUUUAUUUUAGAUAAAUAUCCUUUUAAAAAUUAUAUUCCAUAGCUACCUUUUGAUUUUUUAUAGCCAAAUAUAUAUUUAUGAUUACCUCCUAACUUUAAGCCAUAAAAUAAGCUUUGUAUUAUUUUUCUCUCUCAUAUCCCCUCAAAUUUCUCCUAACCCUACCCCAUAUCUAUUCUCCCUCUCUCUCUCUCUACUUCCCAUGUCUUCUCCUCCGCCUGACCUUUCUACUGUGAAAUAAUAUUUUGUCAGCUUUCUGCAAUUUUAUUCGGCUCGCCUGCAUUUUUGGCUUGAUUAUAUUCUCUGUCUCCAGUUUAAUAUUGCCCGUUACAACUUUAGGUUAAGAUAUUUGGCAAAAGGAGAAUCUAUUGAUUUGCAGAAUGUUAAGAUUGUCAUCUCUUUAACAUACUUGAAGGAUCAUUUAGAAUGUUGCUUUGACAAGCAUUUCAAACUUUCAGAAUUUCUGUUAAAGAAUGCAAAGGUUUUGGAGAAGUCUCCGUUAUUUCGCCGGUAAUUACAUGCUAAUCGUCAGCAACUGGAGGCAAAGGUGACGGCAAGCGAGGACUGGAUACUGAUGCUUCUUCAACGAGACGAUAUUAGGGUUGUUCUUGAACAAAGACGACGUUGGGGGCAGAGCAACUUGAAUUUUUUGUUAAUAUAUUUCAAUGUAUUUCAAUAUAUCUCGUUGUAUUUCAUUGUAUUCACUUUCUUUUUUUUUCAUUGUAUUUUAAUGUAUCUUGCUGUAUUUUAUGUAUUUCAUUGUAUUCACUGUUUUUUUCAUUGUAUUUCAAUGUAUCCCGAUGUAUUCUAUAUAUUUUAUUGUAUUCACUGUCUCGCUAUAUGCCAUGAAUGUAUUCAUAAAUAUUUUUUUAAUUAAUAUAAUUU